CGCUAACACUCCUACGGGAGGCAGCAGUAGGGAAUCUUCCACAAUGGGCGCAAGCCUGAUGGAGCAACACCGCGUGAGUGAAGAAGGGUUUCGGCUCGUAAAGCUCUGUUGUUAAAGAAGAACACGUAUGAGAGUAACUGUUCAUACGUUGACGGUAUUUAACCAGAAAGUCACGGCUAACUACGUGCCAGCAGCCGCGGUAAUACGUAGGUGGCAAGCGUUAUCCGGAUUUAUUGGGCGUAAAGAGAGUGCAGGCGGUUUUCUAAGUCUGAUGUGAAAGCCUUCGGCUUAACCGGAGAAGUGCAUCGGAAACUGGAUAACUUGAGUGCAGAAGAGGGUAGUGGAACUCCAUGUGUAGCGGUGGAAUGCGUAGAUAUAUGGAAGAACACCAGUGGCGAAGGCGGCUACCUGGUCUGCAACUGACGCUGAGACUCGAAAGCAUGGGUAGCGAACAGGAUUAGAUACCCUGGUAG
RNAcentral lists this ribosomal RNA (473 nucleotides) under uncultured bacterium. Its description in RNAcentral is "bacterial SSU rRNA". It matches the Rfam family "Bacterial small subunit ribosomal RNA", at positions 328 to 793 of the family's 1533-position model. The record is from RNAcentral.